CCUACGGGAGGCAGCAGUGGGGAAUCUUGUGCAAUGGACGAAAGUCUGACACAGCCACGCCGCGUGCGGGAAGAAGGCCUUCGGGUUGUAAACCGCUUUCAGCAGGAACGAAAAUGACGGUACCUGCAGAAGAAGAUGCGGCCAACUACGUGCCAGCAGCCGCGGUGAUACGUAGGCAUCAAGCGUUGUCCGGAUUUAUUGGGCGUAAAGAGCUCGUAGGCGGUUCAGCAAGUCGGGUGUGAAAACUCUGGGCUUAACCCAGAGCCUGCACUCGAAACUGCUGUGACUAGAGUUCGGUAGGGGAGCAGGGAAUUCCUAGUGUAGCGGUGAAAUGCGCAGAUAUUAGGAGGAACACCAAUGGCGAAGGCACUGCUCUGGGCCGAUACUGACGCUGAGGAGCGAGAGCGUGGGUAGCAAACAGGAUUAGAUACCCUGGUAGUCCACGCCGUAAACGAUGGGCACUAGGUGUGGGUCUCUAACCAACGAGAUCUGCGCCGUCGCUACGCAUUAAGUGCCCGCCUGGGGAGUACGGUCGCAGACUUAAACUUAAAGGAAUUGACGG
RNAcentral lists this ribosomal RNA (562 nucleotides) under uncultured bacterium. Its description in RNAcentral is "bacterial SSU rRNA". It matches the Rfam family "Bacterial small subunit ribosomal RNA", at positions 338 to 916 of the family's 1533-position model. The record is from RNAcentral.